Molecule: ribosomal RNA, 293 nt
Filed under: uncultured bacterium
Lineage: Bacteria
Description: partial 16S ribosomal RNA
Rfam family: Archaeal small subunit ribosomal RNA
Source: RNAcentral
GUGCCAGCAGCCGCGGUAAUACCGGCAGCUCGAGUGAUGUCCAAUAUUAUUGGACCUAAAGCGUCCGUAGCUGGCCGCGCAAGUCCGUCGGGAAAUCCACCUGCCCAACAGGUGGGCGUCCGACGGAAACUGUGUGGCUUGGAACCGGAAGGCUCAGAGGGUACGUCCGGGGUAGGAGUGAAAUCCCGUAAUCCCGAACGGACCACCGAUGGCGAAAGCAUCUCGAGAAAACGGAUCCGACAGUGAGGGACGAAAGCCAGGGUCUCCAACCGGAUUAGAAACCCGGGUAGUCC